RNAcentral lists this ribosomal RNA (460 nucleotides) under uncultured bacterium. RNAcentral describes it as "partial 16S ribosomal RNA". It matches the Rfam family "Bacterial small subunit ribosomal RNA", at positions 338 to 795 of the family's 1533-position model. The record is from RNAcentral.
CCUACGGGGGGCAGCAGUGAGGAAUAUUGGUCAAUGGACGAGAGUCUGAACCAGCCAAGUAGCGUGAAGGAUGACUGCCCUAUGGGUUGUAAACUUCUUUUAUAUGGGAAUAAAAUGUUCCACGUGUGGGAUUUUGUAUGUACCAUAUGAAUAAGGAUCGGCUAACUCCGUGCCAGCAGCCGCGGUAAUACGGAGGAUCCGAGCGUUAUCCGGAUUUAUUGGGUUUAAAGGGAGCGUAGGUGGAUUGUUAAGUCAGUGGUGAAAGUUUGAGGCUGAACCGUAAAAUUGCAGUUGAAACUGGCAGGCUUGAGUACAGAAGAGGUAGGCGGAAUACGUGGGGUAGCGGUGAAAUGCUUAGAUAUAACGAAGAACUCCGAUAGCGAAGGCAGUUCACUGGACUGCAACUGACGCUGAGGCGCGAGAGCGUGGGUAGCAAACAGGAUUAGAGACCCGAGUAGUC